AGCUUGCUUCUAUGACGUUAGCGGCGGACGGGUGAGUAACACGUGGGCAACCUGCCUGUAAGACUGGGAUAACUUCGGGAAACCGAAGCUAAUACCGGAUAGGAUCUUCUCCUUCAUGGGAGAUGAUUGAAAGAUGGUUUCGGCUAUCACUUACAGAUGGGCCCGCGGUGCAUUAGCUAGUUGGUGAGGUAACGGCUCACCAAGGCAACGAUGCAUAGCCGACCUGAGAGGGUGAUCGGCCACACUGGGACUGAGACACGGCCCAGACUCCUACGGGAGGCAGCAGUAGGGAAUCUUCCGCAAUGGACGAAAGUCUGACGGAGCAACGCCGCGUGAGUGAUGAAGGCUUUCGGGUCGUAAAACUCUGUUGUUAGGGAAGAACAAGUACAAGAGUAACUGCUCGUACCUUGACGGUACCUAACCAGAAAGCCACGGCUAACUACGUGC
Molecule: ribosomal RNA, 447 nt
Filed under: Priestia megaterium
Lineage: Bacteria; Bacillati; Bacillota; Bacilli; Caryophanales; Bacillaceae
Description: bacterial SSU rRNA
Rfam family: Bacterial small subunit ribosomal RNA
Source: RNAcentral